AUUCCGAGGAUAUAUUAUAGC
This 21-nucleotide small RNA is filed under the name Brassica napus (rape). Its description in RNAcentral is "PsRNA_36". Lineage: Eukaryota; Viridiplantae; Streptophyta; Magnoliopsida; Brassicales; Brassicaceae. The record is from RNAcentral.